This 261-nucleotide ribosomal RNA is filed under the name uncultured bacterium. RNAcentral describes it as "partial 16S ribosomal RNA". It matches the Rfam family "Bacterial small subunit ribosomal RNA", at positions 524 to 776 of the family's 1533-position model. The record is from RNAcentral.
UACGAGGGGGGGCGAGCGUUUGUUCGGAAUUAUUGGGCGUAAAGGGUGCGUAGGCGGUUUGGUAAGUCUGAUGUGAAAUCUAUGGGCUCAACUCAUAGUCUGCAUCGGAAAACUGCCGGGCUUUGAGUAUGGGAGAGGUGAGUGGAAUUCCUGGUGUAGCGGUGAAAUGCGUAGAUAUCAGGAGGAACACCUGUGGCGAAAAGCGGCUCACUGGACCAUAACUGACGCUGAUGCACGAAAAGCUAGGGGGAGCAAAACAGG